UGUAACUGCUGUAAAGUAGAACUGAAACAAUAGCUUGCGGCUGUCUGAAUCAGUUUCCUUGUUUCACACUUUUGAGUCAGAGCUGAAUAUUUCAGAACCUCAAAUAAAGCUUGUUUCAAUUUUGGUUCUAAUAAUGGGCAAAGGUUAACAGAGGCAGUUGGGAGGAGAAGGGAAUUGAAAGGGAGGGGCUUGUUUUUGAACCAGCUUCACCCUAGUUCUCUGUAGAAUAAUGACUGAAAUUAAAGGAAGCCAAGAAAUGAAAUGGACGGUUGCAAAAUGAUAUUUUAUGGUAGUGUUAGGAGGCCUCCUACUGAAUGGUAUUAACAAGGCCUUCUUCUGAAAAAACAAGAGCAGCUGAGAAGAGAGAAAACCUACCUACUUGCCAUCAGAGAAGAAAAUAUCUGUAGAUGUAAGGGAUCCAUGGAAUCUAUGAAAAUAAGAGUUCAACCAGUUUUGCUUGCACAAACAGCCUGGUGCACACAGUAGAAAUGGCUAACUGUUUUUGCUGCUGAGACAACAGUGGCCUCCAAGAAACGGACUGCAAUCUUUUGCAUCAACUUGACCGGUAAGAAAUGCACGUAUGACCAGCUGUCCCAAACUGGCCGCCUCCAGGUGCGGUACAGUAUCUGGCUACUAGUUGGUGGAGAUGCUGCUUGGUAUUGAAUGAGUGGUGACCCCAGGUGACACUGAGAAGGCACUGAGGAGAUGAAGAGAAACAGCCACAUGAUGCAUUGUACAUGGCAACUUUUCCAGGUACUUAAGUUACAAGCAUUCUUCAAGGAGGAACUUUACCCUGGAGUGGAGCCAUGCCUCACUUGUCUGCUUUGUCUUCACUGUAUGGCUGACUGGACAGUAAUACAAUGGCAGAAAGGAUUUCUGUGCAGUGAGCUGUGUUUUUGCUGAGUUACAGCCAGGCAGGAGAGCCGGGCCUUGGAGACUGUGGCUGCAUUUUGAAUGCCUGAAGGGAAAAGGACACUUUCUGUUAUUUGACCUCCUUUGCUGAGGAGGGCUUUCCAUAAAGGACCAGUUUGGGAGCUUGGAAAGAAGUGUGGCUGCGGAUUACGAGGAGGCCAGCUGGUAGGGGGUGCUGCCAUCUCACUUUGGAUGUUGAAGACCCAGACUCAAGUCCCUAUUCUGACUCCUAUAUUUCACGCAAACUCAUGCCCACAAAAAUCUGGCAUGAUGUAUGUGAAAGUGGGUUGAUCAUGAAGCAGAGCCCUUUCUGGAACAGAACGAUGCUGCUUAUGGAGGUCAUUGAGAUCAUGAUGGAAGAACAGAAAAUAUAUACUUGUAUUUAGUUUCCUCAGUGCUAUGGCUUAAAGAAUUGGUUAGAAAAAGUUGCAUGACAGACAACAGUGUUUUGGCUCAAGACUGGUGAGUGGGCAUCAUUAGCUGAAGGGUAUUUUUCUGUCAGACUUGCUGUCAGGUCACUUCAAUUGCAGCAUCUGCCAGUGCAGGAGCCCUGCAGCAUCAGAUCCCUCUUCAAGGUUAAAAGAUUAAUGGGAAGAAAAGAUGCCCAAAAAUUGCCUGUACUGUACCUUGGAGGAUGAAGAGGGAUACUGAUGAUUUUUUUCAAGGACUCUUGGUGUUGGCCUGGCUGAGCUCUGUUGAUGCCAGUGGGAACAAAUCUGAAUCAAUGCUGAGUGCUUUAGAAAAGCCUGCAGUUUGUGAGACAUGGGGAUUUUGUCUCUGAGGAAGAGUAAUAUGAGUAAAGCAGGCCCUGUGUAUGUCUCUUCUUUUCUUUUUUUCUGAGGCCCAUUCUUAUUCCCUGUAUAUUAAACAAAUUGAGGCACUGUGGUUCUACGCACGAUACAAACACAUUUGUAAGCUGGAGAGCCCUUGCCUCAAUGUUCACAGUCUGAAUAGGCAAGGUGAGUUGAAAUGUCUUUAUCAACCAGGGUGAAAAACAGCUUCAGAUGCACAAGAUCUUCUUCCUAAGAUCUGCUAGGCGAAGGCUGUGUCUUCUCUUCAGAGCAAGGAGUGCAUUUAUGCUGAGCCAGGUGCAGAUGGUUUCCACCUUGCUGCAAGCAGUUGAGACCAUCCCCCACCUGGGGAUUACUUCUCUUUAGGAUUUAGCACAAAUCCUAGGAAGUACAAACAGGUGACAUGUACAUUUAAGCUGGGAAGCAGAAGACUGGUUGUAACCAUCAGAGGAGCCUUCCAAUGGGGGCACCAAAAUCAAAAUUGUUUUAAAGGGGAGGUGAAUAAAGCUUGAGUGGACUAUAUAAUGCCA
This 2233-nucleotide long non-coding RNA is filed under the name Crocodylus porosus (Australian saltwater crocodile). RNAcentral describes it as "lncRNA (ENSCPRG00005018884.1)". The record is from RNAcentral. Lineage: Eukaryota; Metazoa; Chordata; Crocodylia; Crocodylidae.